This 212-nucleotide ribosomal RNA is filed under the name uncultured bacterium. RNAcentral's name for it is "partial 16S ribosomal RNA". It matches the Rfam family "Bacterial small subunit ribosomal RNA", at positions 524 to 734 of the family's 1533-position model. The record is from RNAcentral.
UACGAAGGGGGGCUAGCGUUGCUCGGAAUCACUGGGCGUAAAGCGCACGUAGGCGGAUCUUUAAGUCAGGGGUGAAAUCCCGAAGCUCAACUUCGGAACUGCCUUUGAUACUGGGGAUCUUGAGUUCGAGAGAGGUGAGUGGAACUGCGAGUGUAGAGGUGAAAUUCGUAGAUAUUCGCAAGAACACCAGUGGCGAAGGCGGCUCACUGGCC